UACGGGGGGGGCAAGCGUUGUUCGGAAUUACUGGGCGUAAAGGGCUCGUAGGCGGCCAACUAAGUCGGACGUGAAAUCCCCAGGCUCAACCUGGGAACUGCGUCCGAUACUGGAUGGCUUGAAUCCGGGAGAGGGAUGCAGAAUUCCCGGUGUAGCAGUGAAAUGCGUAGAUAUCGGGAGGAACAUCUGUGGCGAAGGCGACACCCUGGACCAGCACUGACACUGAGGCACGAAAGCGUGGGGAGCAAACAGG
This 253-nucleotide ribosomal RNA is filed under the name uncultured bacterium. RNAcentral describes it as "partial 16S ribosomal RNA". It matches the Rfam family "Bacterial small subunit ribosomal RNA", at positions 524 to 776 of the family's 1533-position model. The record is from RNAcentral.